AGCGAACGCUGGCGGCAGGCUUAACACAUGCAAGUCGAGCGGGCGUAGCAAUACGUCAGCGGCAGACGGGUGAGUAACACGUGGGAACGUGCCCUUUGGUUCGGAACAACUCCGGGAAACUGGAGCUAAUACCGGAUAAGCCCUUCGGGGGAAAGAUUUAUCGCCAAAGGAUCGGCCCGCGUCUGAUUAGCUAGUUGGUGGGGUAAUGGCCCACCAAGGCGACGAUCAGUAGCUGGUCUGAGAGGAUGAUCAGCCACACUGGGACUGAGACACGGCCCAGACUCCUACGGGAGGCAGCAGUGGGGAAUAUUGGACAAUGGGCGCAAGCCUGAUCCAGCCAUGCCGCGUGAGUGAUGAAGGCCUUAGGGUUGUAAAGCUCUUUCACCGGUGAAGAUAAUGACGGUAACCGGAGAAGAAGCCCCGGCUAACUUCGUG
This 435-nucleotide ribosomal RNA is filed under the name uncultured bacterium. Its description in RNAcentral is "bacterial SSU rRNA". It matches the Rfam family "Bacterial small subunit ribosomal RNA", at positions 29 to 507 of the family's 1533-position model. The record is from RNAcentral.